CCACUGCGUGUAGAGAGCACUCUCAGCACAAGAGUCUCUUCACACCAAGCCGUUUGUUUGCUAUUUCAAGAGAGGAUGUGAGACCUGGCAGAUCGGCCUUCCAUCACUGAACAGAGUCUAGUGUACCAUUAAUCAGAUAAUGAAGCCCUAACAAGUAAUACUAGUAGAGGAUCUACCCCAUGCUUGAGAGAAAGGUUUAUGACUUGAUAACCAGUGGUUUUCUUUUGAGGAGAAGAUUGAUCAGCCUACUUCUGAAGUGGAUUUAGCAGACUAUCCUGGUAAUGGCCUGCCAAAACAAAAGUGACAACCACGGAGUCCGAGAAUGCAAGAACAUGUCUUCUACUGCCAAGGACCAGCUGACACCCACGGAGUCGCAAAAUGGGAACGGCUGUGUGCACCAAAAGGGAGGAAGUAUAUAAAAAGAUUUUUGUUUUCAGUCACUCUGUGACCUAAGUAACGUCCUAGUUUAAACAUUAAACUCAAGGUCAUUAACUUGUCACAGUGAUUUCUGAUUUCAAACUUUAUAGCAAAAUAAGAGUUAAGAAGGCAUGAAAAGGCUCAUUAAUUGAUAUGAUAAAGCUUGCUGAAAUGUAACCCUUUAUAUACUUCAUAUAUAUGUAGAGACAAUGAUUUUAAAGUUACAAAACUUCAAAAAUAUAUGCAUUGUUUAAGUCAGUACGUGUUUCACAUGUCAUACAUUAAAGGUGAAACCAUAUAAAAAAUGCUAGGUACUACUUUUGCACUUCCAAAAAAACAGACUAUCAAGGGUUUGAUUUCUCUUAUGCUGAAAAUAAAGUUAAUUUGUGAAACUGUAAUCCGAAUUCAGAAAAUGUUGGAAAUAAAAGCAGUUUCAUAUUACUCAUUCAGUCACAGGCUGAUGUUUGUAGCAAAUGAUUUACACGAGAAAAUUGACCAUGUCUCAUGCAUCACUAUUAAUUUUUACACUUUAAAACAGGCACAAUUUAAACCGAGGCCAAUAUACCCUCUUGACAUUGUUGCUAUCUUACUGCCAAUCUCAGUGUUUUAAAGUAGGUGAAAUUACUUCAUUUCAUUUUCAUUAAAAAUCUGAAUGCAGCAUUAUUCCAGAGCUAGUAAAACUUAUUCUAAAUGUUUAUGAAAAAUAUUAAUUUACAUUUUCUGUGAGGGAUUAGCCUCUUCUUAGAACUGAAUGUGGUUAUUUUUUUCCACCUUAGUACAGACACUUUCGACCAGCUUCCUUCAUUGGUGUUUGUGAUAUACUAAUCACAGAAUAUAUGAAAUAUGUUAUAUUUAAGGGGAAAUGACUGAGAGCAAAAAGCCAGCGUUUAUCAUAACUUGUUCUCUUCAGUUAGAAUAGUCCAGCACAAUGGCACUUGGUUUUGAAAACUGGAGAUUGUCAAAAUAGAUAGCUACAGUAUUGGUCUUGUUAGCCCCUUUUACUCUGCCAGUAAUUACCCUUUUUGUCCCAGAGUAGUGAAGGUUUUGUUUAGAAAUAUCUGCAUUCCAAGUGAAUCAUGCACCUUUGUUUCAAAUUGCCUGUAGGACGGCAGUAUCCCAAAGCAGUGGGCAGCCUAUACCUUAGCUGCUUGAGAAUGAGAUGAUAACUCUUCGGAUGGUUGUGCCUUGAGUUUGACCGCUCCUUACAUACAUUAACAGUGUAGGACAGAAUCUUGAAAUUCUCUCCUACUCAUUAAUGCUCUUAUACUAAUCUUUCACAACUAGACAUUGUAUCUACGUUACAAUCUGACCUUUAAUUGGAUUUUAUUAACUUGCGGCUAUUGUUUAAGCAGGAACAAUGAUACUGGAUCUGAAAAAAAAUAUAGGAAACAAGCAAAUUAUCAAGAUUUUUCUCUCAUUCUGGUGAAUGAUUUGAAGAGGUGGAAAGCCUUAAGUAUUUAGCAAAUUGCUUGAUUGUCUUCUGUAGGUUAAAGUUUAUAGUGAGCGAAUGCUUAAAAAACGAAAAUAGCCUUUCUGAAAGUUAGGAAGCCAGCACACAGAUAUCUCUUCAUUACUUCUCAUUGCUUGUAUAAAGAUAGCCAAAUAUUUAUUUCGGACACAUUGUGUCAUCUGAAUAUUAGGUCUUCAGCUAUUUGGGCUAUGACAACUGAGUCCUACUAUAUUCUGGUUGGGUGAUGGAGGACAUUCUUUUUCUACUUAUAAAGAAGUAGGAGGUCAGCAUUGUAAACAAUAGGCAGAAUUUCCAUUAAUAAUAAAUGUACGAUCACAUGCCAAUGCAAACUCACAUGUCCUUUUCUGCUAGUACAUCCACUGAUGUUUCUGUUUAAUAGAACAGAAGUUACAAAAUGGUACAUUUCAGGAAUAUAAAGAUUUCAGAUAAGUCUAUGUCAGACCAAAAUAAAUUUCUUUUCCUUUGAGUGUAGCAAGGGCUUGAUUUCACCCACAGGAUUUAGGUAUCUCUUCCUUUGGGUAAAAAAUUUCCAAAAAGCUGAUGAUGAUUUGUUAUCCAAUGGGUGCAGUUGUCCCACGUUAUCCAGUUAUCCCUUGUUAUCCAACAGAGGAAGAUGGCUAAUAGAAAACAAAAUACUAAUGGUGAAGGAGGUAUGGAUUUGCUUUAUUAUGUUAUCGUAUUAUUUUGAUCCAAAUAUUUUCAUUUUAUUACGAGUAAAAUUUGUAUGCCAGAUUGCUUUGUUUCAUUUGUGUGUAUGCAGGCUAAAUAAACUGGUAGAUAACUACUGGUUUAUUAUAGUCUAUUUAAGAUAGGCUGAAAUGGAAAAUAAUUCUUUUUUUUCACAUUUCAUUUGAAUCUCAAAAGAAUAUCUGUAUCUCUAGUACUGAUAACUAAAACUAUUCAACAUCAGAAAUAAUGUACAUUGAGAAAUUUACAUAUUCGUUAUUAACUACAGAGGAAAAACAUAUUUUAAAAUUAAAAUAAGCUGAUGGUAAUGUAUUGCACCCUAAUAAAUGGCGCCUACCUUCCACAUUUAAGUGACCUGAGACCAGGAAAGCACUGGAAUGUGCCUAAAAUUAAGCUAGAAGUAAACUAGAUCUCCAUAACCUCCAUAAUUGAACUGCAGCCUUACAGGAGCAAUCAGAUGCUUCUUAAUGCUUUUCAGAAUUCCUCAUUAAACCAGAGAAUCUCACUGUGAUAUAAACCAGCAAACUGUCUCUUCAGCAGAAAUCUUUUUCAGUGGUAAAGCCAUUUAUUGAAUCUGCCUCUCCAUCUGGGUCAAUGCAACCAUCCAGUUUCACUAAGAGGAGCAGCUUUCCAAGGAGAUAAUCUGCACUCGAGGUCCUGGAGCUCCUAAAAGGUCUCAGUUCUUCCUCCAACAUUUCGCAGAGCUAAGGAGAGCUGCACCCUGAGGGCAUGUUGCUUCCAGGGCACCCUGCCGCUCUCCAGUCUGCUUGGCAUGCCCCGGGGAAGAGCAAUCUACAGAAAAGAGAGCAGAAGUUACAGUGCUGCAACCACAGCAGUUCUGCAUUUUGCCCUAACAAGUGAAGUAAGACCCAAAUCCCACCUCCUUCUUCAAACUGAUGUCUUUUAGUAGGAAUUAUGAAGACAGCUCAUCUGUAACGAGAUAAUAAAGAUCAGUGGAGUAAUGGGGUCACAAGUAUUCAGUUGAUGUCCUAUGACGCCUCGGUAGUGCCGUGUAUCUGAAGCUGUUUGCUUGCCACCGAAGAAAGAUUUAUGUCUUCAGCCAUGCAAAGUGAAAUAGCUGCAUUGUGGAGAAGAAGGCAAAUGUUUGCUUGUUCAAGUUUGGCUCUUAUUCAUCUCCCAGCUGACUAAAUCCAUGAAGAUAAACAUGGCCUGGCUUCCCCAGCUCAGCAAUGACUGCUUAUUGUCUUCGAAUAAAUACUGCAAUAUUAUUGCUCCACACUUUCCUGGCCACUGGCAGACUAUGAAAACAAGCUGAACUAAUGCCAUAAGUCAUAACAUAUACAGUCCCCGUUGUCAUUAACCCAGGGGAAAGGAAAAAGGAGGAUUCAGAAGUCAACUUUGUUUUAACCCUUUGAAUUGUAAUAGUUUUUUUUAAACCCCCUCUCAACAUGAUUGACGUCUCCUAGGAGCCCCCUAUCCUUUCAUAGGUUAGGAAGCAUUAAGUAGUUGCACUUUCCACUGGCUGAGUCUAAUCACAUUCCUAUAGAUGAAGCAGGCUGCCUUGGACACCCACAGCUUCCCAUUUAUCUUUUAAAAUGCAAUCUAUGCUUUUGUAGAUGAGCUCAUCUUGGGGAGUGGCGGAAAAAGGAGGACAAGAAUAGAAGAUAGAUCUUAGAAGAAACCAGCACAUGGUAAUGCUUGUGUUAAAAGAACCAUAAUAAGCUGCCCUAAAGAAAAGAGGGCUGGAGAAGGAGUUGGAGGAACAAUGUAUUUAAGAAAUUAAUUUUCCCGUAGAUAGAGACAACCCACAAGAAAGAUUCUGAAUUGUCAAAGACUACCUAGCUUUUAUUAGACACAUCAUGAGAAAAACCUGCCCGGCCACCCCUAUUUGUAAACAAAUGCUUAAUGUGAUUGGCACUUCUUGUUCCCCAUCCUAGACAUCUCUGCUUAGGGCUUUGUGAAAGUAAAAAAAAAAAGAAAAGACUGAAAAGUGUAUAUGGAAGUGUAUAUGGAAAAAUCAUCAUACCAGAUGAUAGUGCGAUCAAGCAAGGGAGGUCUGCUUGGAAAUCUUAUCUAAUUAGUUGGCACUGGCAUUUUGGGGGCACAAAUGAAAAUGGCCUUCCCAGUGCCAGUCCUUUCUUCUGCAUUUGCAACUCACUUAACCACAGCCAGCUACUACCAAAAAUUCUCUUCUAAGCCAUUUGUCUGCUAUGUCUGCUACUGGAGUUAUUAUAUUGCAAUUUAUCCACUGGUAAGCUCAAAUCUCAUGACUAUGUCAGUGAUAUAGUAUGAUACACCUAGGUUUUUCUUUGUACGUGUUACAAUAUUGAGGAAGAUAAAAAUAUAACAUUUGCCUGCUACAAUUAGAGUUCAGGAUUCUUUUCAUUAUAUUGGAGCAGAGGAUCUAUUACACAGAUCUACCUACAGACGCACAAUGUGUUUGGUUUCAUUGUGGGACUCCCAUGAAGGAAAUGCUCUACAACGCUAUCAUAUUCUAGAUGGCCUAAAGCAUACAGUGUCCAGCAGGGCUUUAAGGAAGAAGACGACAGGCACAGAAGACCAUGUGUCCGAUGGAGAAGUCCUCCUUAAUUUUGAUCUGAUACCUCUGGUACCGUCUAACCAUUUUUAAAGUCAGAAGCAACCAGCAAAGUUGAGAAUAGUCACGUAAGGCAGCAGAGCUUCCAGAGGUGGGACCAAAUCUUUGGUUUAUUACUUAUUUUGUUAAUUAGUUAUUUAUUUCGAUGCAGCACCCACUGAGUCGCACCUGAGACUAUUAAAGGAAUUAAAGAGAAUAAAAUAGCUUUAGUCACAGAAUAAGCAUAGCAGAGGUUAUAGUGAUACUGAAUUAAAGGUUUGAGAAAGUGAAUGGAUUGUGAGUGGUGCCCAGAACAGCAUGAAUAAAAUGAAAGGAGAGAUCCACGGGGGAAGACUCUUGCCUACAGACGUUCCCUGCCGCCUCGCUAGGGAAAGCCUCAGGAGGAGUCAGUGGAACUGCGACGCAGCAGUUCUUGGUGUUGUGAAGAACUCAGGGAAAGUCACUGCAGUGACGACCUGGACUCUAAGUAUCACCAUAAGAAGUAUGCUAUAUGGGAAAUGGAAGCAAAUGUGAGUCAAGGCUCAAUGAAAAACUACUGUCAUAAAAUGUAUGUGCAGCAACGGAAGCUAGCUGAAAAAUGGGGAGGAAUGCCUAUAGAACCAUAUACUUUAUUUGUGUGGAUAAUUUUCAGAAACAGAAAUGUUUCAAUGCCUUGAAUAGCAGUUUAUCUCUCUGGAUUCUGUAUGUAGCUGAACAUCUCUUCUGAAAAAUCAAAAUUACUUCACCCGUUUCAAGCAUGGAUUAGCCACCACAGAUCAUCAAUUGCAUGUAUUUGCUGUGAAUAUAGGUCUGAAGUUAGUCAGAAAAAUGGAAAAUGAAAUGAAAUGAAAUGCAAGAAGAGAGUAGAGAGGGGAAGGGAAGAGAAGGGAAGGGAAGGGAAACCCAAAACUCAGAACAUAGGUUUUCCUGAAUCAGCAUCUUCUUGGUGUUUUCCGCUAAACAAAGGGGCAAAGCUGGAACAGUAUUCACAAUGCACAUAGGUCAGGUGAAAUGAGCAGAAAAAAAAAAGAAUCCAAAAAACUGGUGUAUUCCCAUCAUUACCAUCAUCCUUGCCACUGGUCAAAAUGUCCUUGUUGGACUCUUGCUAUCAGCAAAGCUUUGACCAUUCUCAGUAAUGACAAAAUAUAAUGGCUGUGAGAAGGAAAACUGAGUGAAUUUCUCAAACUAAUUACAACAGUUCCCCUAUAUUUAUGUCAGAAUGCAGACAGUAACAAGUUCUACCUUAUGUGGUCAAAGCUUUAAAAUACAAAAGUUGUUAUGCCGAAAUCAACUUUAAUCAAAAUGAAUUUAUUAUCACCAGGCUGAUUGUCCCUGCACCCUCCUAUCUGUAAGGUGUCAGUUAUGCAUAACUCAUUGUGAUUGGUGAAAAGGAAGCAAAGGAAACAUAAAUGUCAGUUUGUCACUCUUUCUUGAGGGACGAUAGUUUUGCAGCAGCAGUAACCAACCUCAGUGAUGAUUUGAUGGGUGUUUAAACAGUUUUUCUGGCCUUCGAGAAUCAACACGUGUUGGCUAUCACUGAUCUUAGGGGAUAUAAUAAUUUUUAAAAAUCACUUUUUCCAUAUCUAUAGGAAUUGGGAAGUUCCUCUGGGGUAGAGUAGUCAUUGUCUGACGGAGACAAAGGCACAGUUCUUCUGUCCCUGAUUCCCACUUCAUUUUAGCUGCCUUUGUAAAUGAGUCCAAACAACAGGGGAUAUCCCUGUUAUUAGCAAAUGAUUUACAAGGACAAUGAGCAGUGUAUGGGUGAAAGCAAACCUGUGCACCAGGAAAGCUGACAGGAUAUGGUCAGAAGCUUGGAGUGAUAUAUUUGCUAUCUUAAUUUUAUCUUCGAAUUCACAGGUCAGUAUUAAUUUACAAGAAUAAAAUACCUUCAACAUGCAGUUUUAUGUUGGUCUGUCCUUGCUUAGGUUAGCUAUAGGUAUGUAUGUAUGUAUAUGUAUAUCUAUGUACAUAUAUAUUUUUUUAAUACAGUUUGGAUUCAUCUCUUAAUGUAAACAACAUGUGGAAACACUUUUCCAUAAAAUUUACUUCAGUCUGUAUACUUACUACAAUGUCUAAAAAGGUACGGUAGAAUACAGAAAUGAAAUAUGCUGACACGUUAUGUAUGUGCAUGUUGUUUACUUUAUAAUCCACAAAGCAAGCUCCUUCCCAAGCUUGUAGGAAGGCUGAAGUUUUCAGAUGGAAUUGAUAAGGCAAUGGGAAUGAUCAGCCGCUGUGGCUCUGAGGGUGCUUGGCACUUCUUUGUAUUUAGCAUUAAACUUCCUGUCCACCCACCCUCCCCCAUCAUUCAAGCCCUUAUUUUUGGAUUGUAGGAGGUUGCAUUUCACUGGGUACUCGUGCUACCUCA
This is a non-coding RNA of Struthio camelus australis, 7476 nucleotides long. NCBI's taxonomy places the organism in Eukaryota, Metazoa, Chordata, Aves, Struthioniformes, Struthionidae. The record is from RefSeq and is a predicted model, not a curated record.